UACAGAGGGGGCAAGCGUUGUUCGGAAUUACUGGGCGUAAAGGGCGCGUAGGCGGCCUGUUAAGUCGGACGUGAAAUCCCUCGGCUCAACCGGGGAACUGCGUCCGAUACUGGCGGGCUUGAAUUCGGGAGAGGGAUGUGGAAUUCCAGGUGUAGCGGUGAAAUGCGUAGAUAUCUGGAGGAACACCGGUGGCGAAGGCGGCAUCCUGGACCAAUUCUGACGCUGAGGAGCGAAAGCCAGGGGAGCAAACGGG
This 253-nucleotide ribosomal RNA is filed under the name uncultured bacterium. RNAcentral describes it as "partial 16S ribosomal RNA". It matches the Rfam family "Bacterial small subunit ribosomal RNA", at positions 524 to 776 of the family's 1533-position model. The record is from RNAcentral.